This 10116-nucleotide unclassified non-coding RNA is filed under the name Portunus trituberculatus (swimming crab). RNAcentral's name for it is "uncharacterized LOC123499741, transcript variant X3". Lineage: Eukaryota; Metazoa; Arthropoda; Malacostraca; Decapoda; Portunidae. The record is from RNAcentral.
GCAAAUGUAAAUCGUAAGGAUUCGCAAAGCAGAGGUCAGUUUCCAGCUAUUCGUUAGUAGUGAGUGUUAAUUCUCUGCAAGGACGCGUCACGUGGCUCAGCAGCUGCUGUAACCAAGGGACUCAACACAUCCAUUACUUUCUGACCUGACAUACCAAAACAUUCAAACAUUUUAAGUUAGCAGGCAACGCCCAGCGGUCUCCCCUUCCAGCGAGACUUGCCAUGCCUCCUGUUCAUUUGACAAUGAUUGGGCCUCGACUCUCGCUGCUUAUCACCGUAACGCUGCUACUGACGCCGCUGUGCCUCACCGAUCUGCCCCAUACACGUCACCAGAUACCCAAUGGAAGGAGUGUUAGUGACGAAGAGGUGGCAAUCACCUCGACUAUAUAUGAGGAAGGCGAUGGUGGUGAAGGUAAUGGUGCUAACGGUGACGGCCAUGAGCAAGAUGGAAUCCUAAGGGCGACUGCAAGGGCUAUCUGGGGAACACUUCGUCCUUAUGUUGUCGCUGAAGGCAUCGACAGCUUUGCAGAACGUUUGGUCUCACUCAAGUCUCGGCUGCUGAAGGAGGUGGAAGAUGAGGUCACUGCUUACACCAACGUCACCGUCUUCACGUGGCCAGACGAUGACUUUGGACCAGAGCAUCAAACCGAGGAAGUCAAGGCGGCCACGAGUGCGGGAGCCGGCGAGAACGACGACAGUUACUACAGUGGGAACGACAUGAUGAGAACGAAAAGGGAGCAUCCAGUCCAUCAUCCUUUUAUUCGUGACCCGUUCGGCGUGGCAAUGCUGGACGAAGUGGAUACACUGUUGUCGCUGGAGACGGAGCCGACACUAGGCGUCUAUAUGACUCAGUGGCAUGGGCGUCUCAUUGUUGCUGGCAUGGGUGUGAGGAAGAUCGUCACUCUGUACGCCGUCACGCAGCGGCCAUACAAGGUGGAGUCGACGCCUCCCUUUCCAGGCGUGCACUCCUGCAGGUUCACGGUGGUGCCUGAAGACAUACUGCUGGUGGCCUGCAUCUCGCCCGUUAGAAGGAAAGUGCAACACCUUGGUAUCCAUGAGGAACUAGUGCCUGAGGUGACUGUGUACCAGGUGGAGGAGGAAGCUUAUGGCUCCGGGAAACUAUCCACCAAGCAUCUGCAGAGCAUUGAGGUGGAUGAACCUGUGGACUUGGAGAUGUGGAGUCGGGACGGCGAACAUUACCUCCUAAUAGCCAACUCGAAGGAGGUCAAUGUGGAAUACAGCCCAUCUGGGGAGGUGCUGGCCCACAGAACCAACUAUCAUUCCGUUUCGUAUCUCUACAAGUGGAAGGAACACUACUUCGACGCCUUGCAGCACCGCGUCCUGCCAGGCAGCUACCCAAGGACUGUCACACAUUUCACCAUCGGGAGCAGGCACUUCGUCGCCAUGGCCAACUACAGAAACAACAAAGGGCAGCGCAACAUCGAUAGCUUCAUCUUCCACUACUCCUUAGAAGAGGACCAUCUCGUUCUCUUCCAGCAGCUGCCCACCAGAGGCGCCCUCCACAUCGCUAGCUUUACUUUGGGACACAGCCACUUCGCUGACACUUUCCUCGCAGUGGCCAACAGUUGUGAGGACGAAGAUGGAGGAAGCUGUAAUCCUCACACGAACUCUGCCAUCUAUCAGUUCACCGGCAAGAAGUUUGUGCUGUUUCAAGAAGUGCCGACCUUGCUCGCCGUACAGUGGCUGGCCGUGCAAGUGGAGGGCACGGUGCUCCUGGCGGUAGCGCAAAUGGUGGCUGGCGUGAAGCUGUUCCAGUAUGACGGUUGGAGGUUCGUUGCCACCAAAAUACAACACUAUGAGGGUUCCUUUGGCCCAGGAGCUACGGGUCUAGCAGCGGCACACUGGAACGGUACUGUCGUACUUGCCGUGUCUAGCCUGGAACACCAAGACUCGCUGUUCCACUCCCUUGACGUAUUCAGACUCACCUUCAGGAAAAACACUCGGCUAAAGGCAGUUCAUAGCGACUAUGAGGCGUGGUGUGUAGCGGCCUUGCGCGAAGCCAAGCAGACGGAACUGGUGGCCUCGCUGGUGAGCGGGAUACAAGCGGCUACCAAUCAGACUUACGUUUUCACUAGUCACGUCACCAUCAAGGGGUCUUUAACCGCCGGCCUGGGCAGCUUCGUUACCCAGACGUUUGAGAGGACGACGAGCAGGCACUUGCCAGUCUUGACCGGCGGCAUUACCCAGUUGCUGCUGACUUUAGGGAGUAAAGUGCAGCAAGCGGUGGUUAGAAUUUCCAAUGCAGUCAGCCUCUCCGAUCCUAUCUCUUGGCCAGGUGACCUUCAUCUAUAUGACUUGUCUGCUGGCUCGGCUUCAGCGGAACGUUUGUAUGUGCAUGAUGUCAAUCAGCGGGUGGUGUCGUGGAGGGACGCUGUCAUGCUGGAGGGAAUCGAUCUGCAGUAUAUGGCACGACUCCGUCUGGAUCAUGUGGAGAUUAAGGCUGUGACGCAGAUAGCAAACCUGAAGGGUCAGCCCUUUUCCUCGUUCGUGACCCUUAGUGGCCACCAUACCAUUUUUGGUCAUGUGAGCUUCAGUGCUGCAAUCCGUGUCGCUAGCCUGAUCGCCGUCACUGUGGACAAAGUCGUGAUCACUCCACAAUAUGUUCUUAUCGCUGAUGAUUCGCAAUACUUAAAUGGGUCACUCACCUGCCAGUAUCUGAAUGCUGUUUCCCUGGAGGUGGUCACCAUCAAUGGCGUUCCACUUUCGCCACUCCUCUCCUCUCUAGUCUUGAAGGACGCCCGUUCCGCUGUAAAUGGUCUUGUGAGGGUGAUGGGCAACCUGGCGUACCAUGGGAACCUGCAGGUCAACCUCAGCUUGCCUCUCGAUCUGAAAAACGUCAUUAAAGUUGAUUAUGCAGGAUUGCAGGUUGUCACAGGUGGCCACCAGGUGGGCGAGCUUGCAGCUCCGUCCAUGGCGAUAGAAGGACGUCUCAACAAUAUGCGGGUUCCCGCCGAGGUGUUUCUAAAUGGCAGCCAUCACUCGUACAUUGUAGUGUCAGCUGCUUUCAGCCACGUGCGGGCCAUCUCUGUCUUCAUUUUCCAGAAGCUCCACAAUCUCACGGUGACCGAAGGUCGCUUGGACGUACUGUUGCUCUCGGGAUAUCAGAUAGUGACGGCACCAAAGACCUUUACUUCACUUCAGCUUUUGGAGCAAAACGCUCCUAACUAUAGGAGUGCUAGCAUUCGCCGUCGGCGUUGGUCGAGUGAGAACUGUGAGUUACCGAGGAAUCGAAGGCCAAAAACAUUGACUGCCCGCAUAGAAACGCUUUUUUUGGUCCUAAGAGGAGUGGCAGCAGCCCAGGAUCUCUUGAUCUUUCUGACUGAGAUACAACCAGGACAAUUUCUGGUUCCUGGACAGAAUCUGAACUUUUUCAAUUUACUGAUGCAAAAUGUUGACUGUGCUAUUUUGUACCUCGAGAACAACGGUAAUCUAAAACUCCAUGAAACUUUGGAUGCAAUAAAGUGGCACAAUACGACCGUCUUCAUACAGAAUGAAUUACCCACCGAUAAUAUGACAGAAAUGAUAGGUAACAUCCAAAGUUACUUGGUUCAGGAAAAGUUGGAACUAAAAAAAGUUACUUUGAAUGCCGAUGACUUGCUUCUUAUAAACAACUUAAAGAAAGUUGACUCGACGAGACGUGAUCUGCUCAUUCUAGACUAUUUGAUUGAUAUUACAAGCAACCAUGAGUUGGAGAACCUUCCUUCUGAAAUAUUCCAUCGUAAUUGUUUGCUGUUUUGUCCUGCAUUCCAUGAGAAUAUUCGAGAUAGGAAAAAAAUGCAGAUGAGUUGUAUCCCAGAAAUUUUGACAGUUUUUAAAGCCAUGAAAACCAUCUCAAAGUAUUCGGCGAUCAUUACAGAAAUGAAGCAGCUAUCGGCACACAGUUACCAAAUACUCAAGGCAGGAGUUGUACGAUAUCUCCUUGGUCAGCUGCUUCGGUCGGUAUCGGAGAAGAAAGAGCUGAGAAAACAGGUGUACGCAGCAGUUGUCUGUAGAUUAUCGCCUGAAGGAAGUGAAGAAUAUCAGCAGAUGCUUAUAACUUAUCGAAGAGAAUUGCACCAAAAUACUUCCAGAUUCAUUCACUCGAGGAUCAAGAGGCAAGCAUCUGAAGCAGCUUAUGGAUUAACAGACCCUGAACCUCCCUCCACAUUGCCAGCUUCUAACAGUGAGGACACUUCCACCAUCCCACUUUCAUUUAAUGAAGACGCAAAUGAAAAUUCUUCCACCCUCCAAGAUUCAGUUAUUGAGAACACCAGUCAAGACUCUUCUACACUUUCGGCCUCCACCACGGAGGCCACCAGUGAAGACUCUCCCACACUCUCAGUCUCCGCCAGAAAGAACAUCGCCGCCAUCCCUGAGGACACCAGUCAAGACUCUUCCGCCUUCACGGUCUCCAUCAUUGACAAUAACAGUGAAGACUCCUCCGCCCUCCCACUCUCCGUCACUGAGGACACUAGUGAAGACUCCUCCACCCUCCAAGCCUCCGUCACUGAGGACACCAAUGAAGACUCCUCCACCCUUCCUACCUCCAUCACUGAGGACACCAUUGAAGACUCCUCCACCCUCCCAGCCUCCGUCACUGAUGAAACCAGUGGAGACUCCUCCAUCCUCCCAGCCUCCAUUACUGAUGAAACCAGUGGAGACUCCUCCAUCUUCCCAGCCUCCAUCACUGAGGACACCAGUGGGGACUCCUCCACUCCCCCAGCCUCCAUCACUGAGGACACCAGUGGAGACCCCUCCAUCUUCCCAGCCUCCAUCACUGAGGACACCAGUGGAGACUCCUUCACCCUCCCAGUCUCCGUCACUGAGGACACCAGUGGAGACUCCUCCACCUUCACAGCCUACGUCACUGAGGACACCAGUGGAGACUCCUCCAUCCUCCCAGCUUCCGUCACUGAAGACACCAGUGGAGACUCCUCCACCCUCUCAGCCUCCGUCACUGAGGACACCAGGGGAGACUCCUCCAUCCUCCCAGCUUCCGUCACUGAAGACACCAGUGGAGACUCCUCCACCCUCCCAGCCUCCGUCACUGAGGACACCAGUGGAGACUCCUCCAUCCUCCCAGCUUCCGUCACUGAAGACACCAGUGGAGAUUCCUCCACCCUCCCAGCCUCCGUCACUGAGGACACCAGUGGAGACUCCUCCAUCCUCCCAGCUUCCGUCACUGAGGGCACCAGUGGAGACUCCUCCAUCCUCCCAGCUUCCGUCACUGAAGACACCAGUGGAGAUUCCUCCACCCUCCCAGCCUCCGUCACUGAGGACACCAGUGGAGACUCCUCCACCCUCCCAGCCUCCGUCACUGAGGACACCAGUGGAGACUCCUCCAUCCUCCCAGCUUCCGUCACUGAGGGCACCAGUGGAGACUCCUCCACCUUCACAGCCUACGUCACUGAGGACACCAGUGGAGACUCCUCCAUCCUCCCAGCUUCCGUCACUGAGGGCACCAGUGGAGACUCCUCCACCUUCACAGCCUACGUCACUGAGGACACCAGUGGAGACUCCUCCAUCCUCCCAGCUUCCGUCACUGAGGACACCAGUGGAGACUCCUCCACCCUCCCAGCCUACGUCACUGAGGACACCAGUGGAGACUCCUCCAACCUCCUACACUCCGUCAUCGACAAUACCAGCGAAGGCUCCUCCACCCUCCUAGCCUCUUUCAUUGAGGACACCAGUGGAGACUCCUCCACCCUCCCACCCUCCGUCAUUGACAGCACUAACGAAGGCUCCUCCACCCUCCCAACCUCCGUCACUGAGGACACUAGUGGAGACUCCUCCACCAUCCCAUCCUCCGUCAUUGACAGUACCAGCGAAGGCUACUCCACUCUCCCAGCCUCCGUCACUGAGGACACCAGUGGAGACUCUUCCACCCUCCCAGCCUCCAUCACUGAGAACACCAGUGAAGACUCCUCCACCCUCCCAGCCUCCAUAACUGAGGACACUAGUGAAGACUCCUCCACCCUCCCAGCUUCCAUCACUGAGGACACCAGUGGAGACUCUUCCACCCUCCCAGCCUCCAUCACUGAGGACAGCAGUGAAAAUUCUUCCGUUACACCGUAUCGCAGGGAAGAUGCCAAUGAAGAUUCUUCCACCCACACAUUAUCCAUCGGUGAAAUCAAUACCGCUUUCGCUGCUGCCACCACUGAAUUUUUUUCCUCCAGUUUAGACUCUUCCACUUUCACUGGUUCCACCAAUGAAAUCUCUUUCAAUUUUUCAACUUUAGCCCCACUCUCUGUCUCUCCAUCCUCCAUGUACGGUGAUAGUGUGUUUCUUUCUGCUCGCGCUGGGUUAUUAUCGGAACUCCGAGAACUUGAGACAACCGUGGCUGUGGACUCCGAUAAGACCACUCAGAUUUUAGGAUUCCAAACAACUGAUGAGAAAACAACACCAGAAGACCAUGUAACUGAUAGUAUCUUAAGACUUUCAACGACAGGAAAUGCACAAAUCACCGGCAUUUUUGCAGACAUUUUAGGACUGAGAACAACGGAAGGGACCUCAGAAUCUAUGGAUAGCGUGACCGUGGACUUAAAAGGAACCAUUGAUUUAACUGCAAUCUCAGGAUCCCAGACUGUUGGGAUAACUGGCAAUGAGAUUGCAGAUCCAGAAACGAUACCUGAAGCAGAAAAGCCGAAUUUUACAACGGACAUAACCAAAACCAGUACUACAACAGUAACGGAUGUCACAGAGGACUCUUCACCAAACACGAUGACCGAAAAAGCCACAGAAUCAAGUGUAGUUACGGACAAGGACAUAACAAAUCCCUUUACCAUUGUGAACAACAACAUGGAGGUGAAUCUCUCCCAGACUGAUGCUGAUGCAAUCCUUGUACCUUUGAAAGUGUCUCUAAACUACGAAAACUGCAGUACCCUUCCUCCAAACCUACUGCAGGACUCAAAUCGUCUCAUGUAUCUUUAUCGACGCAUGCAAAUGACCGAUGACUAUUUUUCCACUGUAGUCCGACUCCUGCCUGAGCUAAAAGUUCCCAAAGAACCCUCCCAGUAUGACGUUGGUGUAGAAGGCGCUAUGUUAGAUGCGUUUGGAUUUUUAAUCGAUACAGUCAAGAAAUUUGUACUUGAUCCCAUCGGCUUUCUAGGUGAGUUAGACAUAGAGAGACUCCAGAAAGAUUUGGAUUUUUUCUUUUUUGUGUCGAGUUUUGCCACAUCCUCACAGUACUACUACUGGUCUGAAAGAUUGCGAUAUAGAGAUCUGUAUUUAAAAACUUUGUUGGAAUUCAGUGGAAUAAUCACCAGAAGACUCCUGAAUUGCUUUGAGACAUUUUAUCCAGAAUUUUCUACCUCAGGCUACGAAACUACAUCACAUCCUUUUGCUUACUCUGAUGACAUGCCUGAGAUUGUGAAGAAUAUGAGUGAGGAAUUUAAAACCAACAGUGCCUUGAUAAAGAAUUUGAUGAUCCUGUUGAACUUCACCAAAAACGUUGUGGCGCUCAACCCAUAUCUGAAUAAGAGGUGUCCGGCGCCGCACGCCAUCGAUCCCGAGGGUGUGGCCAUCGCGAUAGAGGAAGUGAGAGAGACACUGGGCUUUAUUUUGGAGGACGAACUUAUGUUUAGUAAAGUCGUCAAUACCAGUUUUUUAGAAAACCAGGUCCUGAUUCUUAAAGAUAACACGCAAAUGUGCUUGAUGGCGAGUCACCUACCUCAGGAGGUAGAGGCUUCUUUGAGUCAGAUCUAUGAAGAGAAUGGCUCUGUAUUGGCAGAAGACGCUCAAAAACUUUUGAAUAUUCGUAUAAAACACCUACAGCGGAUCAACCUCGCCCUGGUAGACACUAUUGUCGAUAUUGCUGAUCAUCGUGCCAUAGAUAGUGAACUAUCUCCUCCUGAACCUAUCAGUGCUAUCCCUGACUCACAGACUCAAUGGAACUGGGAUGGUUUAUGGUUGGAUGGUCGCCUGGCAGGUUACCUCCUCUCUCAGUUGUUUGAUGAGGCUGGUCUACUUCUCUCUGCAUCGCCUCAUAAGGAGUACACUGCCAACUUCUACCCUGCGCCACUCAGCCAUGUAAACUUCAUAGAGGCACACAAGGACAAGGUGCGACACCUCAGAUUCCUUUCCGGGCUGAGUGCUCCCACGGUGCAGGGGAUGGGAAUGGCACAAAUACAGCGGCACGGGUUGGCUCUCACUGCCACCACAAACAUCGUUCUCACCUUCGUCGCUUCUGUCACCGUGGAUGGGCCGGUAACAGUGUCCCGUGUGAACGGGAUCCACGCGUCUUCCUUCAUCACGUUGGGUGGACAUCACACACUGCAACAACCCUUCAUCUUUAUGGGUUCCAUCACGGCUGCGGCACGAGUGAGAGUACAUAACGAGAUCAACGGCCUUGACUUGGUACUCUUAAGUAAUAGCGUGGUGUUGACGUCCUCUGUGACGCGCCAAGUCUUGCGGCAGCCCAUCAUUUUUACACAAGUGUCCGCUCAAAGGGUGGUGUUUGAGACAGGCAGAGUGCAGGAAGUGGACUUGGAUGAUUUGGUAACGCUCGGCCACCCUGCCAUCAUCACAGGAAGGAAGACUUUCCAGGAAUUGAUUGUGAGGGAGAAUGGAACUGUGGCCGGUGCCGUUGACGCUCGCUAUGUCGGCGGCAUCAACGUCACCGAUCUCUUCUACAAUUCCCUCAUCAAGAACCCAGGUGGCCUGCAGGUGGUGGCGGGGAGGCUGCACCUGCGCCACCUUGUUGUGCUGAAUGACGUCACCACUCACGGUAUUGUCUGCCUGGAUUGGCAUGGCGUUCCUGGCGUCUUGGAUCUCAACAGCAUUGCAAGUCGCGUGGUGCUCCUGAACGGCUCUGCUAGCAUCACCGCAGAUCUAGUCAUUACGGGCAGCGUGUACGUCACUGGCUUGUUCUUUCGAGACACGUUGGACGGGGUGUCGGUGGCGCUGUACCGAGACGGGUGGAUACUUAGGGACACCGAUCAGAGCAUCCAUGGCAAUGUGUCCUUCGACAACAUUAUCUCUCACAGUGUUAUCAUCUCGCAGGGAAUUAAGGUGCAGGAUGUUGACGUGACUCGCUUGUAUCUCAAAACCUUCCUGACGACGUGGCCCAGCACUCUUCCCUUGCCCCUCACAUUCCGCGGGCAUGUGAAUGCAGCGCGGGUGGAAGUCAGGGGACUGGUGCAGGGAUGGGAUCUCUCCAAGCACGCUCUGCUUCAGCAUUCCUCUAGCACAGUUUUUACCGCCGCCAAGGUCUUCCUGGGUGACGUGCUUAUCGCUGGAAACCUCACCUCCACAAACCCUGGUGACGACUGCACCUACUUUCCCUUUCUAAACCUGACGGUUAUAGGCACGGUGGUGGUGGAAAAUAUUUUUCCAACUGCCUCUGUAUUUCUGCCAGAUCACGAGAUCACGACCAAGACCGCCACGCAGUAUUGGCUAGCGGACACGGACACGAAAGUGUCGAUAGAGAUAUUCUUUGACGUAAUUGUUUUGUCGCAUCUUAAUGCGAUCGUGACGUGGAACAACUUGGAGAUGAAGGACUUCAGCAAGAGCUUGUUUGAGAAACGAUGCGACGUAGUGCAGGCGCUGGCGGGCUUUUAUUCCUUCAGUGAUCUGGAGAUUGAAGAAAGUCUCUACACGCCAGCCAUCAACAGUUCGUCCCUGAACGGCGUGGUAAGCAGCAACCUGCGGCAUGUGUUAAUGGCAGACGGCGCACAGGUGUUCACCGGUCAUCCCAGUAUCAACAACCUUCGUGCUCACGGGAGUGGUACUGUGGUCACAUCUGAAGGAGUUAAUGGUCUGCUGAUGUCCCAUAUGUGUCGCCAUGCAGAGCCUUGCAUCGUACACGCCCCUAAAACUUUGGUGCAAGACUUUGAAAUCAUGGAGGACUUGACUCUACCAAAAAACAGUCUCGUUCAGGGCGUUGAUGUGUCGCGUUCUCUGCAUGCAUGGGUGUCGAGAAAUUUGUGUGGCUUCAUACCCGGGCUCACCACUUUCACCGGUCCCUUCAUCGUGGACAAUGCUGACUACAACAUCAGGAAUUAGCGUUGUGAGCCACGAGAUAACUACUUUGGACGGCCUCUUCAAUGGUCACAACCUGACGGACGCAAGGCAAAGGGCUUUUCUCCUUGGGGAUCCUGCGCUGCCUGUAGUGGUGCGG